This 448-nucleotide ribosomal RNA is filed under the name uncultured organism. RNAcentral describes it as "partial 16S ribosomal RNA". It matches the Rfam family "Bacterial small subunit ribosomal RNA", at positions 331 to 796 of the family's 1533-position model. The record is from RNAcentral.
GUACACUCCUGCGGGAGGCAGCAGUGGGGAAUAUUGGACAAUGGGCGCAAGCCUGAUCCAGCCAUGCCGCGUGAGUGAUGAAGGCCCUAGGGUUGUAAAGCUCUUUCACCGGUGAAGAUAAUGACGGUAACCGGAGAAGAAGCCCCGGCUAACUUCGUGCCAGCAGCCGCGGUAAUACGAAGGGGGCUAGCGUUGUUCGGAUUUACUGGGCGUAAAGCGCACGUAGGCGGACUAUUAAGUCAGGGGUGAAAUCCCGGGGCUCAACCCCGGAACUGCCUUUGAUACUGGUAGUCUUGAGUUCGAGAGAGGUGAGUGGAAUUCCGAGUGUAGAGGUGAAAUUCGUAGAUAUUCGGAGGAACACCAGUGGCGAAGGCGGCUCACUGGCUCGAUACUGACGCUGAGGUGCGAAAGCGUGGGGAGCAAACAGGAUUAGAUACCCCGGUAGUCC